Molecule: ribosomal RNA, 738 nt
Filed under: uncultured soil bacterium
Lineage: Bacteria
Description: bacterial SSU rRNA
Rfam family: Bacterial small subunit ribosomal RNA
Source: RNAcentral
ACGCUAGCGGCAGGCUUAAUACAUGCAAGACGAACGGUAAGUAGUGUAGCAAUACAUUGCCUAGAGUGUCGUACGGGUGCGUAACACGUAUGCAACCUACCCAAAACAGGAGUAUAGCUCGGGGAAACUCGAAUUAACCCUCCAUAAGAUCGUGAAGUGGCAUCACUUAGCGCUUAAAACUGAGGUGGUUUUGGAUGGGCAUGCGUCUGAUUAGCUAGUUGGCGGGGUAAUGGCCCACCAAGGCGAUGAUCAGUAGGGGAACUGAGAGGUUGAUCCCCCACACUGGCACUGAGAUACGGGCCAGACUCCUACGGGAGGCAGCAGUAGGGAAUAUUGGUCAAUGGGUGAGAGUCUGAACCAGCCAUGCCGCGUGCAGGAAGAAGGCCUUCUGGGUUGUAAACUGCUUUUGCCAGGGGAUAAAACGGUCGUGCGCGACUAAUUGAAGGUACCUGGUGAAUAAGCCACGGCUAACUACGUGCCAGCAGCCGCGGUAAUACGUAGGUGGCAAGCGUUGUCCGGAUUUAUUGGGUUUAAAGGGUGCGUAGGCGGCCCUGUAAGUCAGUGCUGAAAUCCCCCGGCUUAACCGGGGUGGUGGCAUUGAUACUGCAGGGCUUGAGUACAGAUGAGGUAGGCGGAAUUGACGGUGUAGCGGUGAAAUGCAUAGAUAUCGUCAAGAACACCGAUAGCGAAGGCAGCUUACUGGGCUGUAACUGACGCUGAUGCACGAAAGUGUGGGGA